UACGUAGGGGGCAAGCGUUGUCCGGAAUGACUGGGCGUAAAGCGCGCGCAGGCGGUCUUUUAAGUCUGAGGUGAAAGGCUGGGGCUCAACCCUGGCAUCGCCUUGGAAACGGGAAGACUUGAGGACUGGAGAGGCAAGGGGAAUUCCACGUGUAGCGGUGAAAUGCGUAGAGAUGUGGAGGAAUACCAGUGGCGAAGGCGCCUUGCUGGACAGUGCCUGACGCUGAGGCGCGAAGGCGUGGGGAGCAAACAGGAUUAGAUACCCUGGUAGUCCACGCGGUAAACGAUGAGUGCUAGGUGUCGGAGGGUACCACCUCCGGUGCCGAAGGAAACCCAAUAAGCACUCCGCCUGGGGAGUACGGUCGCAAGACUGAAACUCAAAGGAAUUGACGGGGGCCCGCACAAGCAGUGGAGCAUGUGGUUUAAUUCGAAGCAACGCGAAGAACCUUACCAGGGCUUGACAUCCCCCUGAUGGGUCGAGAGAUCGGUCGUCCCUUCGGGGCAGGGGAGACAGGUGGUGCAUGGUUGUCGUCAGCUCGUGUCGUGAGAUGUUGGGUUAAGUCCCGCAACGAGCGCAACCCUUGAUCAGUGUUACCAGCACGUAGUGGUGGGGACUCACUGAUGACUGCCGGUGACAAACCGGAGGAAGGCGGGGAUGACGUCAAAUCAUCAUGCCCCUUAUGUCCUGGGCCACACACGUGCUACAAUGGGCGGUACAACGGGAAGCAAGAGAGCGAUCUGGAGCGAAACCCUAAAAGCCGUUCGUAGUUCGGAUUGCAGGCUGCAACCCGCCUGCAUGAAGCCGGAAUUGCUAGUAAUCGCGGAUCAGCAUGCCGCGGUGAAUCCGUUCCCGGGCCU
RNAcentral lists this ribosomal RNA (857 nucleotides) under uncultured bacterium. RNAcentral's name for it is "bacterial SSU rRNA". It matches the Rfam family "Bacterial small subunit ribosomal RNA", at positions 524 to 1381 of the family's 1533-position model. The record is from RNAcentral.